This 838-nucleotide ribosomal RNA is filed under the name Trichomerium cicatricatum. RNAcentral's name for it is "SSU rRNA". It matches the Rfam family "Eukaryotic small subunit ribosomal RNA", at positions 250 to 1093 of the family's 1831-position model. The record is from RNAcentral. Lineage: Eukaryota; Fungi; Ascomycota; Eurotiomycetes; Chaetothyriales; Trichomeriaceae.
UUCAUAAUAACUUAACGAAUCGCAUGGCCUUGCGCUGGCGAUGGUUCAUUCAAAUUUCUGCCCUAUCAACUUUCGAUGGUAGGAUAGUGGCCUACCAUGGUCUCAACGGGUAACGGGGAAUUAGGGUUCUAUUCCGGAGAGGGAGCCUGAGAAACGGCUACCACAUCCAAGGAAGGCAGCAGGCGCGCAAAUUACCCAAUCCCAAUUCGGGGAGGUAGUGACAAUAAAUACUGAUACAGGGCUCUUUUGGGUCUUGUAAUUGGAAUGAGUACAAUCUAAAUCCCUUAACGAGGAACAAUUGGAGGGCAAGUCUGGUGCCAGCAGCCGCGGUAAUUCCAGCUCCAAUAGCGUAUAUUAAAGUUGUUGCCGUUAAAAAGCUCGUAGUUGAACCUUGGGUCUGGCUGAUCUGUCCUCCUAAUCGAGCGCACGGAUUCGGUCGGACCUUUCCUUCUGGGGAGCCGCAUGCCCUUCACUGGGCGUGUCGGGGAACCAGGACUUUUACCUUGAAAAAAUUAGAGUGUUCAAAGCAGGCCUUUGCUCGAAUACAUUAGCAUGGAAUAAUAGAAUAGGACAGAGGUUCUAUUUUGUUGGUUUCUAGGACCGCUGUAAUGAUUAAUAGGGAUAGUCGGGGGCGUCCGUAUUCAAUUGUCAGAGGUGAAAUUCUUGGAUUUAUUGAAGACGAACUACUGCGAAAGCAUUCGCCAAGGAUGUUUUCAUUAAUCAGUGAACGAAAGUUAGGGGAUCGAAGACGAUCAGAUACCGUCGUAGUCUUAACCAUAAACUAUGCCGACUAGGGAUCGGACGGUGGUUUUUUUAUGCCCCGUUCGGCACCUUACGA